UAGUCAUAUGCUUGUCUCAAAGAUUAAGCCAUGCAUGUCUAAGCACAAGCCGAUUAAUGGUGAAGCCGUGAAUGGCUCAUUACAACAGCCAUAGUUUCUUAGAUCUUACUUUUCUACUUGGAUAACUGUGGUAAUUCUAGAGCUAAUACACGCAAACAAGCUCAGACCUUACGGAAUGAGCGCAUUUAUUAGAACAAAAACCAAUCGGGCUUCGGUCCGUCAUUUGGUGAAUCUGAAUAACUUUGCUGAUCGCACGGUCUUCGUACCGGCGACAUAUCUUUCAAAUGUCUGCCUUAUCAACUUUCGAUGGUAGUUUAUGCGCCUACCAUGGUUGUAACGGGUAACGGAGAAUAAGGGUACGACUCCGGAGAGGGAGCCUGAGAAACGGCUACCACAUCCAAGGAAGGCAGCAGGCACGCAAAUUACCCACUCCCGGCACGGGGAGGUAGUGACGAAAAAUAACGAGACGGCUCGCUAUGCGGUCCGUCAUCGGAAUGGGUACAAUUUAAAUCCUUUAACGAGGAUCUAUU
Molecule: ribosomal RNA, 530 nt
Filed under: uncultured eukaryote
Lineage: Eukaryota
Description: SSU rRNA
Rfam family: Eukaryotic small subunit ribosomal RNA
Source: RNAcentral